GCGACCCCAGGUCAGGCGGGGCUACCCGCUGAGUUUAAGCAUAUCAAUAAA
Molecule: ribosomal RNA, 51 nt
Filed under: Boehmeria nivea (ramie)
Lineage: Eukaryota; Viridiplantae; Streptophyta; Magnoliopsida; Rosales; Urticaceae
Also listed under: 2 other names
Description: partial 28S ribosomal RNA
Source: RNAcentral